UACGAAGGGAGCGAGCGUUGUUCGGAAUCACUGGGCUUAAAGCGUGCGUAGGCGGAUUGGUAAGUAAGAAGUGAAAUCCCAGGGCUUAACCCUGGAACUGCUUUUUAGACUGCCUGUCUGGAAUUCGGUAGAGGUUGGUGGAACUCCUAGUGUAGAGGUGAAUUCGCAGAUAUUAGGAAGAACACCGGUGGCGAAGGCGACCAACUGGACCGAUAUUGACGCUGAGGCACGAAAGCGUGGGUAGCAACAGG
Molecule: ribosomal RNA, 251 nt
Filed under: uncultured bacterium
Lineage: Bacteria
Description: partial 16S ribosomal RNA
Rfam family: Bacterial small subunit ribosomal RNA
Source: RNAcentral